GCCGAAGUGGCGGAAUGGCAGACGCGCCAGCUUGAGGGGCUGGUAUCCGUAAGGAUGUGCAGGUUCAAGUCCUGUCUUCGGCA
This 83-nucleotide transfer RNA is filed under the name Planctomycetota bacterium. RNAcentral describes it as "Planctomycetes bacterium (freshwater metagenome) tRNA-Leu". It matches the Rfam family "tRNA". Rfam says of the family: Transfer RNA (tRNA) molecules are approximately 80 nucleotides in length. Their secondary structure includes four short double-helical elements and three loops (D, anti-codon, and T loops). Further hydrogen bonds mediate the characteristic L-shaped molecular structure. tRNAs have two regions of fundamental functional importance: the anti-codon, which is responsible for specific mRNA codon recognition, and the 3' end, to which the tRNAs corresponding amino acid is attached (by aminoacyl-tRNA synthetases). tRNAs cope with the degeneracy of the genetic code in two manners: having more than one tRNA (with a specific anti-codon) for a particular amino acid; and 'wobble' base-pairing, i.e. permitting non-standard base-pairing at the 3rd anti-codon position. Lineage: Bacteria; Pseudomonadati; Planctomycetota. The record is from RNAcentral.